Molecule: ribosomal RNA, 427 nt
Filed under: uncultured bacterium
Lineage: Bacteria
Description: partial 16S ribosomal RNA
Rfam family: Bacterial small subunit ribosomal RNA
Source: RNAcentral
GUAGGGAAUAUUGCGCAAUGGGGGAAACCCUGACGCAGCGACGCCGCGUGAGUGAUGAAGGCCUUCGGGUCGUAAAGCUCUGUUGCAGGGGAAUAAAAAAUGAAGGUACCCUGUGAGGAAGGAUCGGCUAACUUCGUGCCAGCAGCCGCGGUAAGACGAGGGAUCCUAGCGUUGCUCGGAAUCAUUGGGCGUAAAGAGGGCGUAGGUGGCUUGGUAAGUCAGGUGUGAAAGCCCAGGGCUCAACCCUGGAAGUGCAUUUGAUACUGCUGAGCUUGAGUGUCGGAGAGGUUACCGGAAUACCUGGUGUAGUGGUGAAAUACGUAGAUAUCAGGUGGAACACCGGAGGCGAAGGCGGGUAACUGGACGAACACUGACACUGAGGCCCGAAAGCGUGGGGAUCAAACAGGAUUAGAAACCCUAGUAGUCC